Molecule: small RNA, 103 nt
Filed under: Idiomarina abyssalis
Lineage: Bacteria; Pseudomonadati; Pseudomonadota; Gammaproteobacteria; Alteromonadales; Idiomarinaceae
Source: RNAcentral
CGAACUAUUUUACAAUUUAUUAUUCAUGAGUUAGCGCACGGCUCAACCCUUGAGCCAUUCCCCUAUACCCGGAACAAUUUGGAUUGGUUCCGGGUUUUUUUUA